This 76-nucleotide transfer RNA is filed under the name Acidobacteriota bacterium. Its description in RNAcentral is "Acidobacteria bacterium tRNA-Lys". It matches the Rfam family "tRNA". From Rfam's summary of the family: Transfer RNA (tRNA) molecules are approximately 80 nucleotides in length. Their secondary structure includes four short double-helical elements and three loops (D, anti-codon, and T loops). Lineage: Bacteria; Pseudomonadati; Acidobacteriota. The record is from RNAcentral.
GGGCCGCUAGCUCAAUUGGCAGAGCAACUGACUCUUAAUCAGUAGGUUCGAGGUUCGAUUCCUCGGCGGCUCACCA